GGGUCAGUAGGUUGGUCGUGCCACCGGUACGUACUGGUCUCACUGAUUCCUCCUUCCUGAAGAACCGUAAUGCCAUUAAUUUGGUGUUGCGGGGAAACAGGACUGUUACUUUGAAAAAAUUAGAGUGUUUAAAGCAAGCUGACGCUUGAAUACAUUAGCACGGAAUAAUGAAAUAGGACGAUCGAUCCUAUUUUGUUGGUUUCUAGGAUUGACGUA
Molecule: ribosomal RNA, 216 nt
Filed under: Glomeromycotina sp.
Lineage: Eukaryota; Fungi; Glomeromycota
Description: partial small subunit ribosomal RNA
Rfam family: Eukaryotic small subunit ribosomal RNA (bases 40-216)
Source: RNAcentral